This 204-nucleotide ribosomal RNA is filed under the name Thermosporothrix hazakensis. Lineage: Bacteria; Bacillati; Chloroflexota; Ktedonobacteria; Ktedonobacterales; Thermosporotrichaceae. The record is from RNAcentral.
AAAAAAAUCUGCAAAAAGUAUUGACAGGCUUCCCAACCCGUGCUAUUAUACUCCCUGUCAACGAAAGCCGCCUGUAUGUACAGGUGGUGCGGUGAUUAUCGCGAAAGGGUUCCACCCGUUCCCAUCCCGAACACGGUAGUUAAGCCUUUCAGCUCCGACGAUACUUGGCGGGCAGCUGCCUGGGAAAAUAGGACAUUGCCGCUC